GUUGACAUCGAUUCGUUCCAAAUUUACACUCUCGGGGCAUAAUAGAACAAUAUAAUUUGGUUUUACUCUUUGUUCGAUAGAAUAAGAAAAAGUAGUCAUUGCAAUGUUAUACUGUUAGGGCGCCACUGAAUAGUCUAAUAUUGUUCCGGUUUUGGUUCUUGUGAACGUUGACAUCGAUUCGUUCGAAAUUACAACUCUCGGGGCAUAAUUGAACAAUAUAAUUAGGUUUUACUCUUUGUUCGAUAGAAUGAGAAAAAGUACUCGUCGCAAAGUUAUACUGCUAGGGCGCAACUGAGUAGUCUAAUGUUGUUCCGAUUUUGGUUCUUGUGAACGUUGACAUCGAUUCGUUCCAAAUUUACACUCUCGGGGCACAAUUGAACAAUAUAAUUAGGUUUUACUCUUUGUUCGAUAAAAAGAGAAAAAGUACUCGUUGCAAAGUUAUACUGUUAGGGCGCAACAGAGUAGUCUAAUGUUGUUCCGGUUUUCGUUCUUGUGAACGGUGACAUCGAUUCGUUCCAAAUUUACACUCUCGGGNCUGGGAACUUGUUGUACACAAUCUCGUCGUUGUGCCUUGGGCGGACAGGGGAGGUACUGUCCGUACGGCGGUCCGCCGCCGUGCCCGAACCGAACCAAAUUGGUAUCGGCCUCGGGGCGGGGGCGUGACAGAAAAAUUACUAGUUGCAAAGUUAUACUGUUGGGGCGCAACAGAGUAGUCUAUUGUUGUUCCGGUUUUGGUUAUUGUUAAGGUUGACAUCGAUUCGUUUCAAAUUUACACUCUCGAGGCAUAAUAGAACAAUAUAAUUAGGUUUUACUCUUUGUUCGAUAGAAUGAGAAAAAGUACUCAUUGCAAAGUUAUACUGUUAGGGCGCAACCGAAUAGUCUAAUGUUGUUCCGGUUUUGGUUCUUGUGAACGCUGACAUCAAUUGGUUCGAAAUUACAACUCUCGGGGCAUAAUUGAACAAUAUAAAUUAGGUUUUACUCUUUGUUCGAUAGAAUGAGAAAAAGAACUCGUCGCAAAGUUAUACUGCUAGGGGGCAACUGAGUAGUCUAAUAUUGUUCCGGUUUUGGUUCUUGUGAACGUUGACAUCGAUUCGUUCCAAAUUUACACUCUCGGGGCAUAAUAGAACAAUACAAUUAAGUUUUACUCUUUGUUCGAUCGAAUGAGAAAAAGUACUCGUUGCAAAUUUAUAAUAUUAGGGCGCAGCUGAGUAGUCUAAUGUUGUUCCGGUUUUGGUUCUUGUGAAGGUUGACAUCGAUUCGUUCCAAAUUUACACUCUUGGGGCAUAAUAGAACAAUAUAAUUAGCUUUUACACUUUGUUCGAUCGAAUGGGAAAAAAGUACUCGUUACAAAGUUAUACUGUUAGGGCGCAACUGAGUAGUCUAUUGUUAUUCCAGUUUUGGUUCUUGUGAAGGUUGACAUCGAUUCGUUCCAAAUUUACACUCUCGGGGCAUAAUAGAACAAUAAAAUUAGCUUUUACACUUUGUUCGAUUGAAUAAGAAAAAGUACUAGUUGCAAAGUUAUAUUGUUGGGGUGCAACAGAGUAGUCUAUUGUUUUUCCGAUUUUGGUUCUGGUGAAGGUUGAUAUCGAUUCGUUCCAAAUUUACACUCUCGGGGCAUAAUGAAUAAAAUAAAUAGCUUUUACACUUUGUUCGAUUGAAUGAGAAAAAGUACUAGUUGCAAAGUUAUACUGUUGGGGCGCAACAGAGUAGUUUACUGUUGUUCCGAUUUUGGUUCUUGUUAAGGUUGACAUCGAUUCAUUCCAAAUUUACACUCUCGGGGCAUAAUAGAACAAUACAAUUAAGUUUUACUCUUUGUUCGAUCGAAUGAGAAAAAGUACUCGUUGCAAAAUUAUGCUGUUAGGGCGCAACUGAGUAGUCUAGUGUUGUUCCGAUUUUGGUUCUUGUGAAGAUUGACAUCGAUUCGUUCCAAAUUUACACUCUCGGGGCAUAAUAGAACAAUAUAAUUAGCUUUUACACUUUGUUCGAUUGAAUGAGAAAAAGUACUAGUUGCAAAGUUAUACUGUUGGGGCGCAACAGAGUAGUCUAUUGUUGUUCCGGUUUUGGUUCUUGUUAAGGUUGACAUCGAUUCGUUCCAAAUUUACACUCUCGGGGCAUAAUAGAACAAUAUAAUUAGGUUUUACUCUUUGUUCGAUCGAAUGAGAAAAAGUACUCGUUGCAAAGUUAUACUGUUAGGGCGCAACUGAGUAGUCUAAUGUUGUUCCGGUUUUGGUUCUUGUGAACGUUGACAUCGAUUCGUUCGAAUUUACACUCUCGCGGCAUAAUAGAACAAUAUAAUUAGGUUUUACACUUUGUUCGAUAGAAUGAGAAAAAGUACUCGUUGCAAAGUUAUACUGUUAGGGCGCAACUGAGUAGUCUAAUGUUGUUCCGGUUUUGGUUCUUGUGAACGUUGACAUCGAUUCGUUCCAAAUUUACACUCUCGGGGCAUAAUAGAACAAUAUAAUUAGGUUUUACGCUUUGUUCGAUUGAAUGAGAAAAAGUACUCGUUGCAAAGUUAUACUGUUAGGGCGCAACUGAGUAGUCUAAUGUUGUUCCGGUUUUGGUUCUUGUGAACGUUGACAUCGAUUCGUUCCAAAUUUACACUCUCGGGGCAUAAUAGAACAAUAUAAUUAGNNN
This 2634-nucleotide long non-coding RNA is filed under the name Ananas comosus (pineapple). RNAcentral's name for it is "long non-coding RNA (ACOM_LNC029062)". Lineage: Eukaryota; Viridiplantae; Streptophyta; Magnoliopsida; Poales; Bromeliaceae. The record is from RNAcentral.